This 951-nucleotide ribosomal RNA is filed under the name Triticum aestivum (bread wheat). RNAcentral describes it as "partial small subunit ribosomal RNA". The record is from RNAcentral. Lineage: Eukaryota; Viridiplantae; Streptophyta; Magnoliopsida; Poales; Poaceae.
AUGGCUUCCGACAGCAACCGGAAGGCUCCCUGCGGCAAGCCUCAGUUCCUCAAGGUGCUCUUCACGGACUUCAUGGAGAAGAUGCCGAUCCCGGCCAAGUUCAUGCGGCGGCACCUGGCAGCGGAGCCCGGGCUCCGGCGGGCCACCCUGAUGAGCCCGUUGGGCAAGUUCUGGCACGUCGACGUGGUCCGAGACGGCCACGGCGGCGACAGCGACGUCUACUUCGCAGGCGGCUGGGCCGAGUUCGUGAGGGCCAACAGGCUGGAGGAGGAGAACUUCCUGGUGUUCAAGUACGAAGGGAACAUGGUGUUCACCGUGAAGGUGUUCGAGACGUCCGGGUGCAUCAAGAACUACGACGACCUCGUCGUCGCCGGCGCAUUGUUAGAGCAGGCAGCACCGAGGAAGCGGUCCAGCACUGGCUGUGGAUCGCAGCCUACCUCCAAGGGCCAUGGUGGUUCACAUGCUCAGAAAACCAGGAAGGUCAGUGACAGGAGCCUUACCGGUGAUGGUGCCAUACAGGCAAAGAAGCAGUACAAACCUCGCAGGAUUCUGAUGGAAGACAAUGAUGGCGAGCAAGAUGCCACCACAGAGAAGUACGCCCAAGCGGACACCCACUCCGGCAUCGCAACGGAGGCCAAGGAGUCUGACUACACCGGCACCCUCCCUUUCUACGCCAAGACGGCGACUCCUUGCAACAUUCGCUACAGCUACAUGAACAUCGGGAAGAAGUUCUGCGUCAUGAACGGCAUCGCGACGAACCGGCUGAUGAUACUCAAGGACUCGGGCGGGAGGUCGUGGCCCGUGAAGCUGACGCUGACGAGCGACCAGGCGCGCAUGAAGGCCGGGUGGGGCCACUUCUCCGGCCACCAUGGGAUCAAGGUCGGGGACCUCUGUGUCUUCCACCUCGUCGACGAGCACACCUUCAACGUCAGCAUAAGGCGGGCCGAGUAA